Molecule: non-coding RNA, 45 nt
Filed under: Schistosoma mattheei
Lineage: Eukaryota; Metazoa; Platyhelminthes; Trematoda; Strigeidida; Schistosomatidae
Source: RNAcentral
AUCCAACUGAAGAGGCUCAAACAGGAUGAAAUGCAUGUCCUGGAU